RNAcentral lists this unclassified non-coding RNA (380 nucleotides) under uncultured Armatimonadota bacterium. Its description in RNAcentral is "uncultured Armatimonadetes bacterium contains 16S-23S intergenic spacer region". The record is from RNAcentral. Lineage: Bacteria; Bacillati; Armatimonadota.
UCCCGCUUACACGGGCAGUCUCCUAUGAGUUCCCACCUUUAGUGCUGGCAACAUAGAACGAGGGUUGCGCUCGUUGGCGGACUUAACCGUACACCUCACGGCACGAGCUGACGACAGCCAUGCAACAAGUGUCUUCAGGUCCCCUUGUGGGGGAGGGCCCCGUUUCUGGGGCUUGCCAUCGAUGUCAAAUCUGGGUAAGGUUCUUCGGUUAGUAUCGAAUUAAUCCACAUGCUCCACCGCUUGUGCGGGGUCCCGUCAAUUCAUUUGAGUUUCAACCUUGCGGCCGUACUCCCCAGGCGGGAUACUUAGUGCGUUAGCUGCGGCACAAGAGGGAUCAAUACCUCUUACGCCUAGUAUCCAUCGUUUAGGGCGUGGACUAC